Molecule: long non-coding RNA, 399 nt
Filed under: Arabidopsis lyrata
Lineage: Eukaryota; Viridiplantae; Streptophyta; Magnoliopsida; Brassicales; Brassicaceae
Description: long non-coding RNA (ALYR_LNC000796)
Source: RNAcentral
UCCCUUCUGCACCUGCUGGUCCAACACGUUCUGUCCGUUGUCGUUGACCACUUGGAUUCUUCCUUGUCCUCCAGUGCAGUACAAGAUCUCGUUAGCGUUCAUGUUGUAUUUCGGAAGCACCAUCGCGUUCUGCAACAUUUUAUGAAUUGUGAUCGUCAUCCCUCAUAUAUAUAGCUUCCAAUUUUAAUAUAUUUUGCUAAUGGAAAAACAUUAAUAUAUCUUACUGAAAAAAUAUUAACUAAGUAAUUAUACAUUAGAUUUAUAUUUUGAUUUAAAAUUAUGUAUAUGAAUAAGAUAUACUAGGAUUUAUCUCUCUCUCUCUCCUAAUGUCUAAAGGCAGUAGAAACUAGAAACGCUGAUAUCUUUAUAUUUAUAAUUAUAAGAAUAAUAUACUUACAC